RNAcentral lists this ribosomal RNA (247 nucleotides) under uncultured bacterium. RNAcentral describes it as "partial 16S ribosomal RNA". It matches the Rfam family "Bacterial small subunit ribosomal RNA", at positions 524 to 772 of the family's 1533-position model. The record is from RNAcentral.
UACGAAGGGGGCUAGCGUUGCUCGGAAUUACUGGGCGUAAAGCGCGUGUAGGCGGCUAUGCAAGUCGGAUGUGAAAGCCCUCGGCUCAACCGGGGAAGUGCACCCGAAACUGCAAAGCUAGAGUCUCGGAGAGGAUCGUGGAAUUCUCGGUGUAGAGGUGAAAUUCGUAGAUAUCGAGAGGAACACCGGUGGCGAAGGCGGCGAUCUGGACGAUGACUGACGCUGAGACGCGAAGCGUGGGAGCGAA